Molecule: ribosomal RNA, 413 nt
Filed under: uncultured prokaryote
Description: bacterial SSU rRNA
Rfam family: Bacterial small subunit ribosomal RNA
Source: RNAcentral
GUGUCAGCCGCCGCGGUACUACGGAGGGUGCAAGCGUUAAUCGGAAUUACUGGGCGUAAAGCGCGCGUAGGCGGACUGGUCAGUCAGGGGUGAAAUCCCGGGGCUUAACCUCGGAACUGCCUUUGAUACUGCCAGUCUCGAGUCCGGAAGAGGUGAGUGGAAUUCCUAGUGUAGAGGUGAAAUUCGUAGAUAUUAGGAAGAACACCGGUGGCGAAGGCGGCUCACUGGUCCGGUACUGACGCUGAGGCGCGAAAGCGUGGGGAGCAAACAGGAUUAGAUCCCCUGGUAGUCCACGCCGUAAACGAUGGAUGCUAGCCGUUGGACAGCAUGCUGUUCAGUGGCGCAGCUAACGCAUUAAGCAUCCCGCCUGGGGAGUACGGCCGCAAGGUUAAAACUUAAAGGAAUUGACGGGG